This 750-nucleotide ribosomal RNA is filed under the name uncultured archaeon. Its description in RNAcentral is "bacterial SSU rRNA". It matches the Rfam family "Archaeal small subunit ribosomal RNA", at positions 170 to 922 of the family's 1478-position model. The record is from RNAcentral.
CUGGAAUGGCUUAUGGUCCAAACAGUUUACUGCCAUGGGAUGGGACUGCGGCCUAUCAGCUUGUUGGUGAGGUAAUGGCCCACCAAGGCUAUAACAGGUACGGGCUCUGAGAGGAGAAGCCCGGAGAUGGGUACUGAGACACGGACCCAGGCCCUAUGGGGCGCAGCAGGCGAGAAACCUUAGCAAUGUGCGAAAGCACGACUGGGUCAGUCCGAGUGAUUCCUGAUAAAGGAGUCUUUUAUCUGUCCUAAAAGCACAGGUGAAUAAGGGGUGGGCAGGUCUGGUGUCAGCCGCCGCGGUAAUACCAGCACCUCGAGUGGUCAGGACGUUUAUUGGGCCUAAAGCAUCCGUAGCCGGCUUUGCAAGUCUUCGGUUAAAUCCACCUGCUCAACAGAUGGGCUGCUGGAGAUACUACAAAGCUAGGGAGUGGGAGAGGCAGACGGUAUUCAGUGGGUAGGGGUAAAAUCCUCUGAUCCAUCGAGGACCACCAGUGGCGAAGGCGGUCUGCCAGAACACGUUCGACGGUGAGGGAUGAAAGCUGGGGGAGCAAACCGGAUUAGAUACCCGGGUAGUCCCAGCUGUAAACGAUGCAAACUCGGUGAUGCAUUGGCUUAUGGCCAAUGCAGUGCCGCAGGGAAGCCGUUAAGUUUGCCGCCUGGGAAGUACGGACGCAAGUCUGAAACUUAAAGGAAUUGGCGGGGGAGCACCACAAGGGGUGAAGCCUGCGGUUCAAUUGGAGUCAACGCCGGG